This 72-nucleotide transfer RNA is filed under the name Bos taurus (domestic cattle). It matches the Rfam family "tRNA". From Rfam's summary of the family: Transfer RNA (tRNA) molecules are approximately 80 nucleotides in length. Lineage: Eukaryota; Metazoa; Chordata; Mammalia; Artiodactyla; Bovidae. RNAcentral also lists the same sequence under 3 other names. The record is from Rfam by way of RNAcentral.
UUCCCGUUGGCUCAGACAGUAAAGAAUCUGCCUGCAAUGCAGGAGACUCAGGUUCAAUCCCUGAGUUGGAAA